GCUGGCGGCGUGCCUAAUACAUGCAAGUCGAACGCACUGACGGAGAACUUGUUCUCUUGACGUGAGUGGCGCACGGGUGAGUAACACGUGGGAAACCUACCCUUCAGCGGGGGAUAACCAUCGGAAACGAUGCCUAAUACCGCAUAGACGACAGAACCGCCUGGUUCAAUCGGGAAAGACGGCUUCGGCUGUCACUGAAGGAUGGUCCCGCGCUGCAUUAGCUAGUUGGUAAGGUAACGGCUUACCAAGGCGAUGAUGCAUAGCCGACCUGAGAGGGUGAUCGGCCACAUUGGGACUGAGACACGGCCCAAACUCCUACGGGAGGCAGCAGUAGGGAAUCUUCCGCAAUGGACGCAAGUCUGACGGAGCAACGCCGCGUGUGUGAAGAAGGUUUUCGGAUCGUAAAGCACUGUUAUUAGAGAAGAACAGCCGAUAGAGUAACUGUUAUCGGUUUGACGGUAUCUAACCAGAAAGUGACGGCUAACUACGUGCCAGCAGCCGCGGUAAUACGUAGGUCACAAGCGUUGUCCGGAUUUAUUGGGCGUAAAGGGAGCGCAGGCGGUUCGUUAAGUCUGAUGUGAAAGCCCACGGCUCAACCGUGGAACGGCAUUGGAAACUGGCAAACUUGAGUAUAGAAGAGGAAAGUGGAAUUCCAUGUGUAGCGGUGAAAUGCGUAGAUAUAUGGAGGAACACCAGUGGCGAAGGCGACUUUCUGGUCUAUAACUGACGCUGAGGCUCGAAAGCGUGGGGAGCGAA
RNAcentral lists this ribosomal RNA (756 nucleotides) under uncultured bacterium. RNAcentral describes it as "bacterial SSU rRNA". It matches the Rfam family "Bacterial small subunit ribosomal RNA", at positions 35 to 772 of the family's 1533-position model. The record is from RNAcentral.